This 132-nucleotide small RNA is filed under the name Salmonella enterica subsp. enterica serovar Oranienburg. RNAcentral's name for it is "RtT sRNA". It matches the Rfam family "RtT RNA". Rfam says of the family: This family represents a bacterial cis-regulatory element known as RtT RNA. The exact function of RtT is unknown although it is thought that it may be involved in changing the cellular response in relation to amino acid starvation. The record is from RNAcentral. Lineage: Bacteria; Pseudomonadati; Pseudomonadota; Gammaproteobacteria; Enterobacterales; Enterobacteriaceae. RNAcentral also lists the same sequence under 1 other name.
AUAUCUCUCCGUACGGGAAGGAUGAGAAGCUUCGACUAAGGUUCGAUUCGAGCGAAAGCGAGAAAGCGUUGCCAACGGCAACGACCCGAAGGGCGAAGCACGCAGCGCUGAGUCAUCCUUCCCCCACCACCA